UGCAAGUUCGAGUGCGCGUUUCGUAGCAAUACGAGAUGGCGCACGGCGCACGGGUGCGUAACACGUGGGUGACCUGCCCUUUGGUGGGGAAUAACUCCGCGAAAGCGGAGCUAAUUCCGCAUAAGAUCCGCAAGGAUGAAAGCCGCAAGGCGCCGAUGGAGGGGCCCGCGCACGAUUAGCUAGUUGGUAGGGUAACGGCCUACCAAGGCUUUGAUCGUUAGCUGGUCUGAGAGGAUGGCCAGCCACACUGGAACUGAGACACGGUCCAGACUCCUACGGGAGGCAGCAGUGGGGAAUCUUGCACAAUGGGCGAAAGCCUGAUGCAGCGACGCCGCGUGGGGGAUGAAGCAUUUCGGUGUGUAAACCCCUUUCGAUCCGGACGAAUGCCCGCAAGGGAUUGACGGUACGGAUAUAAGAAGCCCCGGCUAACUACGUGCCAGCAGCCGCGGUAAGACGUAGGGGGCCAGCGUUGUUCGGAAUUACUGGGUGUAAAGGGUUCGUAGGCGGUGCGGCAAGUUGGGAGUGAAAUCUCUGGGCUCAACCCAGAGGCUGCUUCCAAAACUGCUGUGCUUGAGUGUGGGAGAGGCGCGUGGAAUUGCAGGUGUAGCGGUGAAAUGCGUAGAUAUCUGCAGGAACACCCGUGGCGAAAGCGGCGCGCUGGACCACUACUGACGCUGAGGAACGAAAGCUAGGGGAGCAAACAGGAUUAGAUACCCUGGUAGUCCUAGCCCUAAACGAUCAGGAACUUGGGGUGCCACCCGUUCGGGUGUCGUCCCGGAGCUAACGCGUUAAGUCCUGCACCUGGGGGAGUACGGUCGCAAGACUGAAACUCAAAGGAAUUGACGGGGGCCCGCACA
This 857-nucleotide ribosomal RNA is filed under the name uncultured soil bacterium. RNAcentral's name for it is "bacterial SSU rRNA". It matches the Rfam family "Bacterial small subunit ribosomal RNA", at positions 56 to 927 of the family's 1533-position model. The record is from RNAcentral.